AUCACUUUUUGGUCUUUUGGCUAAAAUCAAAUACAGUAUAUGAUAGUGUAGUUUUAUAU
RNAcentral lists this small nuclear RNA (59 nucleotides) under Cervus elaphus hippelaphus. Lineage: Eukaryota; Metazoa; Chordata; Mammalia; Artiodactyla; Cervidae. The record is from RNAcentral.